GGUCGUGCUGGUGCAGCAGGCGGCGGCGCUGCUCCUGCGGCGUGCCGUUGACCGGGUCGCCGUUCGGGUCGGUGUAGAGCCC
RNAcentral lists this transfer RNA (82 nucleotides) under Phytohabitans suffuscus. RNAcentral describes it as "tRNA-Arg". The record is from RNAcentral. Lineage: Bacteria; Bacillati; Actinomycetota; Actinomycetes; Micromonosporales; Micromonosporaceae.